RNAcentral lists this transfer RNA (87 nucleotides) under Kushneria sinocarnis. RNAcentral describes it as "Kushneria sp. Z35 tRNA". It matches the Rfam family "tRNA". From Rfam's summary of the family: Transfer RNA (tRNA) molecules are approximately 80 nucleotides in length. Their secondary structure includes four short double-helical elements and three loops (D, anti-codon, and T loops). Further hydrogen bonds mediate the characteristic L-shaped molecular structure. tRNAs have two regions of fundamental functional importance: the anti-codon, which is responsible for specific mRNA codon recognition, and the 3' end, to which the tRNAs corresponding amino acid is attached (by aminoacyl-tRNA synthetases). tRNAs cope with the degeneracy of the genetic code in two manners: having more than one tRNA (with a specific anti-codon) for a particular amino acid; and 'wobble' base-pairing, i.e. permitting non-standard base-pairing at the 3rd anti-codon position. Lineage: Bacteria; Pseudomonadati; Pseudomonadota; Gammaproteobacteria; Oceanospirillales; Halomonadaceae. The record is from Rfam by way of RNAcentral.
GGAGAGGUGGUCGAGUGGUCGAAGGCACCGGUCUCGAAAACCGGAGCGGGUUCACGCCCGCCGAGGGUUCGAAUCCCUCCCUCUCCG